RNAcentral lists this ribosomal RNA (1057 nucleotides) under rhizosphere soil bacterium RSC-II-18. RNAcentral's name for it is "bacterial SSU rRNA". It matches the Rfam family "Bacterial small subunit ribosomal RNA", at positions 9 to 1034 of the family's 1533-position model. The record is from RNAcentral.
GAGUUUGAUCCUGGCUCAGAACGAACGCUGGCGGUNUGGAUAAGACAUGCAAGUCGAACGCUGAUUUCCAGGGUAGCAAUAUUCUGGAGUCGGAGUGGCGCAAGGGUGCGUAACACGUGGGUAAUUUGCCGUGAAGUUGGGGCUAACUCGCUGAAAGGCGAGCUAAUACCGAAUGUGACUGCCGGAGGGCAUCCUCUGGUUUUCAAAGUUGGGGAUCGUAAGACCUGACGCUUCGCGAUAAGCCCGCGGCCUAUCAGCUAGUUGGUGAGGUAACGGCUCACCAAGGCUAAGACGGGUAGCUGGUCUGAGAGGACGACCAGUCACACUGGAACUGAGACACGGUCCAGACACCUACGGGUGGCAGCAGUCGAGAAUUUUUCUCAAUGGGCGAAAGCCUGAAGGAGCGACGCCGCGUGGGGGAUGAAGGGCUUCGGCCCGUAAACCCCUGUCAUUUGCGAACAAACCUUUUCAUCUAACACAUGGAAAGCUGAUUGUAGCGAAAGAGGAAGGGACGGCUAACUCUGUGCCAGCAGCCGCGGUAAUACAGAGGUCCCAAGCGUUGUUCGGAUUCACUGGGCGUAAAGGGUGCGUAGGUGGCGGGGUAAGUUUGAUGUGAAAUCUCCGGGCUUAACCCGGAAAUGGCAUUGAAUAUUAUUCUGCUAGAGGGUUGGAAGGGAGACUGGAAUUCUCGGUGUAGCAGUGAAAUGCGUAGAUAUCGAGAGGAACACCAGUGGCGAAAGCGAGUCUCUGGACAACACCUGGCACUGAGGCACGAAAGCCAGGGGAGCAAACGGGAUUAGAUACCCCGGUAGUCCUGGCUGUAAACGGUGCACAUUUGCUGUAAGCGGAAUCGACCCCGCUUGUGGCGAAGCUAACGCGUUAAAUGUGCCGCCUGGGGAGUACGGUCGCAAGAUUAAAACUCAAAGAAAUUGACGGGGGCCUGCACAAGCGGUGGAGUAUGUGGCUUAAUUCGAUGCAACGCGAAGAACCUUACCUGGCCUUGACAUGUAUUUAGUAGAAGGUUGAAAGCCUGACGAGAUAGCAAUAUCAGGAUACA